GGAACCCAGUAAAUUUUAUAACGAUAAAUUAAAAUUGAUCAAAGGUAAAAUUUAAUAAUAAAGACUUGAAUUUAUCAUAAUAAAGAUAUUAAUUAAAACAAGGAUUAGAUACCCUUUUAUUUUUAUUCAAUAUAAAAAUUGGAGAGUACGAGCAAUAGCUUAAAAACUAAAGAAUAUGGCGGUGUUUUAUUCAAUCAGGGUGACAUGUAUCUUAAUUUGAUAGUCCACGGUUUCUAAGCCUGAUUUUGAAAUUCAGCAUGUGUACUGCCGUUUUAUAUAAUUUUAAAAAAUUAUAUAAAAUAUAUGGGUUUCAUAUAAUUAGUCAGGUCAAAGCGCAGUCUAUAGUCAGGUGAUAUUGUGUUACAUUUAUUUAAACAUUCAACUUAUUAAUUUAAAUUUUAAUAAGAAGAAGAACUUGAUAGUAAUUAAAUUAAUUAAAUUUAAUGAAGAUGAUUUUAACGUGUACAAAUCGCCCGUCACUCCUUUAUAAAGGAUAAGUCGUACAAAAAGUAGGA
Molecule: ribosomal RNA, 515 nt
Filed under: Hirudo orientalis
Lineage: Eukaryota; Metazoa; Annelida; Clitellata; Hirudinida; Hirudinidae
Description: partial 12S ribosomal RNA
Source: RNAcentral